Molecule: unclassified non-coding RNA, 576 nt
Filed under: Hevea brasiliensis (rubber tree)
Lineage: Eukaryota; Viridiplantae; Streptophyta; Magnoliopsida; Malpighiales; Euphorbiaceae
Source: RNAcentral
GGUUUUCUCUUGAAGAGCUCAAGGUGCAUUAAUUUUCUUUAUUAGUAUCUUCAAAGAAAGCUGUGAAGAUCUAUCAUCUUUGUUUCUUAUGUGGCUUUUGUGCAGUCUUAUCGUUCAUGUUAUGAUUUAUCUUACGUGCUUUUGAAGGCAAUUGCUGAUCUACUGACCUGUGGAUAGUCCACUUUAUUUGAGCCAUUCAUUAUGUUGUUUCUCAGCUGUUAUUCUUGAUCACAUUCCAAGGAUUCUAGGACUAAACUGGCAUGAAUGAGAUAUCGAAUUUAAUAGAUGUUCCCAGUUGGUAGAACUGUCUAAUUUGUCUCCCAUGAAUAUGUUUAAUAUUUAUAGUGCAAGAAGCUGAGCUGCAUGAUCGAGUGCAUAUGUGACUUAGUUUCUCUUUGGUGUUUGUUGUCAUUAAAUUUAUCUCAUCUUAGUGAAUGCAAAUUAAAAUAUUGGAUUUUUAAUCUGUCAAGUGAAAUAUUGCUUUACUACAUAUGUUAUUUUUUUUUUUUUGUUAAAUACCUGUUACAAUGAUUUAAUGCCUUUUUCAAUUACCAGGCUGCUGGUAUUCCAAAGAAG